UCACUGGGUGUGGUUUAUCCG
RNAcentral lists this microRNA (21 nucleotides) under Triops cancriformis. Its description in RNAcentral is "tcf-miR-309". Its record names the gene tcf-miR-309. The record is from miRBase by way of RNAcentral. Lineage: Eukaryota; Metazoa; Arthropoda; Branchiopoda; Notostraca; Triopsidae.